This 465-nucleotide ribosomal RNA is filed under the name uncultured bacterium. Its description in RNAcentral is "bacterial SSU rRNA". It matches the Rfam family "Bacterial small subunit ribosomal RNA", at positions 338 to 795 of the family's 1533-position model. The record is from RNAcentral.
CCUACGGGCCGCACCAGUAGGGAAUCUUCGGCAAUGGACGAAAGUCUGACCGAGCAACGCCGCGUGAGUGAAGAAGGCUUUCGGAUCGUAAAACUCUGUUGGUAGAGAAGAACGUUGGUGAGAGUGGAAAGCUCAUCAAGUGACGGUAACUACCCAGAAAGGGACGGCUAACUACGUGCCAGCAGCCGCGGUAAUACGUAGGUCCCGAGCGUUGUCCGGAUUUAUUGGGCGUAAAGCGAGCGCAGGUGGUUUAUUAAGUCUGGUGUAAAAGGCAGUGGCUCAACCUUUGUAUGCAUUGGAAACUGGUAGACUUGAGUGCAGGAGAGGAGAGUGGAAUUCCAUGUGUAGCGGUGAAAUGCGUAGAUAUAUGGAGGAACACCGGUGGCGAAAGCGGCUCUCUGGCCUGUAACUGACACUGAGGCUCGAAAGCGUGGGGAGCAAACAGGAUUAGAUACCCCUGUAGUC